UCAAACACAGCCAUAGCACAUUGCAGCCCAAGACCGGUUACUCACUGAAGCUAAGCAGGGCUGAGCCUGGUCAGUACCUGGAUGGGAGACCACAAGGGAACAGUAGGUUGCUGUUGGAA
This 119-nucleotide ribosomal RNA is filed under the name Danio rerio (zebrafish). The record is from RNAcentral. Lineage: Eukaryota; Metazoa; Chordata; Actinopteri; Cypriniformes; Danionidae.